RNAcentral lists this ribosomal RNA (292 nucleotides) under uncultured bacterium. RNAcentral's name for it is "partial 16S ribosomal RNA". It matches the Rfam family "Bacterial small subunit ribosomal RNA", at positions 505 to 796 of the family's 1533-position model. The record is from RNAcentral.
GUGCCAGCAGCCGCGGUAAGACGAACCGUGCGAACGUUGUUCGGAAUCACUGGGCUUAAAGGGCGCGUAGGCGGCUCAUCAAGUCGGGGGUGAAAUACUUCAGCUUAACUGGAGAAGUGCCUUCGAUACUGGUGGGCUUGAGGGAGGUAGGGGUCUUUGGAACUUCUGGUGGAGCGGUGAAAUGCGUUGAUAUCAGAAGGAACGCCGGUGGCGAAAGCGAAGGACUGGACCUCUUCUGACGCUGAGGCGCGAAAGCUAGGGGAGCAAACGGGAUUAGAAACCCCUGUAGUCC